This 497-nucleotide ribosomal RNA is filed under the name uncultured bacterium. RNAcentral describes it as "partial 16S ribosomal RNA". It matches the Rfam family "Bacterial small subunit ribosomal RNA", at positions 28 to 507 of the family's 1533-position model. The record is from RNAcentral.
GAUGAACGCUGGCGGCGUGCCUAAUACAUGCAAGUCGAGCGAACAGACGAGGAGCUUGCUCCUCUGACGUUAGCGGCGGACGGGUGAGUAACACGUGGAUAACCUACCUAUAAGACUGGGAUAACUUCGGGAAACCGGAGCUAAUACCGGAUAAUAUAUUGAACCGCAUGGUUCAAUAGUGAAAGACGGUUUUGCUGUCACUUAUAGAUGGAUCCGCGCCGCAUUAGCUAGUUGGUAAGGUAACGGCUUACCAAGGCAACGAUGCGUAGCCGACCUGAGAGGGGGGUAGGCCACACGGGAACUGGGACAGGGUCCAAACUCCUACGGGAGGCAGCAGUAGGGAAUCUUCGGCAAUGGGCGAAAGCUUGACGGAGCAACGCCGCGUGAGUGAUGAAGGUCUUCGGAGCGUAAAACUCUGUUAUUAGGGAAGAACAAAUGUGUAAGUAACUAUGCACGUCUUGACGGUACCUAAUCAGAAAGCCACGGCUAACUACGUG